UUAUUGACAACGGGGUGCCUAAUAAUGGCUGAGAUCAUACCCGAAAACCUGAUCUGGAUAAUGCCAGCGUAGGAAUUGUGAAUUGCUAUUUU
This 92-nucleotide non-coding RNA is filed under the name Algoriphagus zhangzhouensis. RNAcentral describes it as "TPP sequence". It matches the Rfam family "TPP riboswitch aptamer (THI element)". From Rfam's summary of the family: Vitamin B(1) in its active form thiamin pyrophosphate (TPP) is an essential coenzyme that is synthesised by coupling of pyrimidine and thiazole moieties in bacteria. The previously detected thiamin-regulatory element, thi box was extended, resulting in a new, highly conserved RNA secondary structure, the THI element, which is widely distributed in eubacteria and also occurs in some archaea. Lineage: Bacteria; Pseudomonadati; Bacteroidota; Cytophagia; Cytophagales; Cyclobacteriaceae. The record is from Rfam by way of RNAcentral.